UUUAGCAUGAAACAGGUGUAAUCAAUAUUUUAUUACCACCAAAUUAUACAAUAAAUCCAUGAUUUUAUUUUCAUCAUCACAAUAUCCACAUGGAGUGAUGCAGGAAAAUAUAUUCCUUUACCGACUCCUCUAUUCAAAAUGGAAUGGCAAAAGUAGUGUAUAGCUUGUUAAGGUAUGAAGGCUGACGGCAUAGGACACCUCAGAAGUUUUGAAAUUCCACACCUUCAUUCCACUAACCUUCAUGAAGUGCCACAGUGGCACAAAAUAACAUUUGUUUUUAGAUGUAUAUACAUUGUAGGCCUACAUUAUUUUGUACAAUGGCAUGUAAUCCAUACAAUGUGACCAUAUUAUAUUAUGUGAGGUAUCAGAAAAAAAGAAAAUGCAUAUCUAUACAUGAUUUCUCAGCUUUACUUAAUACAUUAGUUUACGCAUGAGCUUAUAACUGAAGAUGUUUCCCGUUUGAAAUGCUCUACGUUGUUGUUGUGCUUUAAGAACUACACAGCUGUUUUAGCACCUCUGAGAAAGACCUUACCUGAACCACAAACCAUUAUUAUAUACUAUAUUACAUACAUUUCACAUACUUACAGUACCAGUCAAAGGUUUAGACACACCUAAACAUAAGGGUUUUUCAUUAUUUUUACUAUUUUCUAUAUAGUAGAGUAACACAUAUGGAACAAUUUAGUAACCAAAAAAGUGUUAAACAAAUCAAAAUAUAUUUUAUAUUUGAGAUUCUUCAAAGUAGCCAUCCUUUGCCUUGAUGACAGCUUUGCACACUCUUGACCUUCUCUCAACCAGCUUAAUGAGGUAGUCACCUGGAAUGCAUAACAAUUAACAGGUGUGCCUUGUUAAAGUUAAAGUCAGGUCUUACCAGCGUGCUUUCCCGUCUUCCUUUUUCUGAUGUUCUAUUUCCUAGUUUUCCCGGUUCUGACUAUUCUGCCUGCCCUGACCCGAGUCUGCCUGCCGUCCUGUAACUGCCUGACUUUGACCUAAUUAUGAACCUCUGCCUGCCCUGACCCCGAGCCUGCCUGCCGUCCUGUACCUGCCUGACUCAGACCUGAUCACGAACCCCUGCCUGUCCUCGACCUGCCCUUUGCCUGCCCCAUGUUUACAAUAAAUCAUCUGGGAACUGUACUAUCUGUCUCCUGUGUCUGCAUCUGGGCCAUAUCCUGAGUCGUGAUAGUACGAACUGGACAUGACUGACCCAGCAGACUCAGACCAAUUCCACAAUGCUGUCUCCCAGCAAGGAGCCGCCAUUGGAAGACACGAGGAGUUACUGCAAUGCCUUAUGGAGGGACUCCAUGGCAGAACGCCAUGACUAGACGUGAGCAAUUCUGCAUAUUCCCUACUAGGCAGCAGGCCACACCAGUAAUCCCAGACUCAGCAACCCCUCCAACAACGGCGUUUCUUCCCAGCCUACCCCAGUGACCUGAGAACCCCGCUCACAUCCUCCGGAGCGCUACGCUGGAGAAUCUGGAACCUGCCGUACCUCAUAACCUAGCGUACCUCAUAACGCUGGUGUCCGGGAGGGAGGAGGAGUUUGUGGCGGAAGUACGGAAGGUGUUUGAUUCUCCGUUGUCCGGGAGAGAAGCUGCUCGUAAGUUGCUCCAGCUACGUCAAGACUCCUAUAGUGUGGCAGACUACGCAGUGGAUUUUCGCGCGUUGGUGGUUGAGAGUGCCUGAAAUCCGGAAGCAUUGUUCGACAUGUUCCUUCACGGAUUAUCAGAGGUGAUCAAAGAUGAGCUCACAGCCUGGAAGCUGCCCAUGGACCUUGUCUCCCUCAUAGCCUUGACCAUCUGGAUCAUUGGGCGGCUACGAGAACGUAGGAGGGAGAGGGAAUCUGUGCCCAGUCACUCUUGCUCGCCCUCGAAUCCCGGAGACCCCCGAAGUCUACAUGUCCGAGUGAACCCAAUGUCACCCGAGUUCUCUCGUGAAUCACAGAGGGCUGCCAACUAGCCUCCUUCGGAGCCCAUGCAACUGGGCUGGGCUAAAUUGUCUCCGGCUGAGUGCAUACACAGACUUAACACCCAGAGUUGUCUAUAUUGUGGAGCUACGGGACAUUUCUUAGCUACCUGCCCAUUAAAAACCCACGCUCAUCAAGUAGGUACGAGUACGCUGGUGAGCCGUACGGUGUGUUUCCCAUCCUCCAUUGCUCGUACAUCUCUCCAUGCUACCCUGUUGUGGGGUGACCAGUCCAAAUCUAACUGGGUUUUCAUUGACUCUUGGGGCCGACAAGAGCUUUUUAGACGCUACCCUGGUGUUGGAGCUGGGAAUCCCCACACAACCCCUCUCCAUUCCCAUGGACGUCAGAGCGUUGGAAGGGCACUAUUGGCAGAGUCGCCCACAUUACAUUUCCCAUUAACCAGAGAGUGUCGGAAAAUCACAGUAAAAGUGUGCAGUUCCUGCCCAUUGAAUCCCCUCAUGCACCCGUGGUUUUGGGAUUCUCCUGGCUCCAGAGGCACAAUCCUCUGAUCGACUGGUUCUAUCGUGGUUUGAGCCCGUUUUGCCAUGCACAUUGCCUGAAGUCGGCACUGCCUGCCCCGGGUAGUCUUCCUGUGGCUUGGGAGAAGUCCUGAACCUCUCCAUCAUUCCUGCGGAAUACCAGGACCUCCAGGUGGUUUUCAGCAAGGCCCAUGCCACCUCUCCUCUUCCGCAUCGGCCAUAUGACUGCGCCAUCGACCUUCUACUGGGUACUAUACCUCCUCGCGGGCGACUUUAUUCCCUGUCGGGUCCGGAGACCAACGCAACAGAAAGGUAUAUUGAGGACUCUCUCACUGCUGGGUUUAUGCGUCCCUCUUCCUCCCCCGGUGGCGCAGGGUUCUUCUUUGUGGAGAAGAAGGACAAGACCCUGCAUCCGUGUAUCGACUACCGGGGUCUCAAUGACAUUAAGGUGGUAAGGGUAGGUAACAACACAUCUGUCACACUGAUCCUCAACACAGGGGCCCCUCAGGGGAGCGUGCUCAGUCCCCUCCUGUACUCCCUGUUCACUCAUGACUGAACGGCCAGACACGACUCCAACACCAUCGUUAAGUUUGCCGAUGACACAACAGUGGUAGGCCAGAUCACAGACAAUGACAAGACAGCCUAUAGGGAGGAGGUCAGAGACCUGACUGUGUGGUGCCAGGAUAACAACAUCUACCUUAACGUGAUCAAGACAAAGGAGGUGAUUGUGAACUACAGGAAAAAGAGAGGGCACGACAAAACCUAUUCCUCCUCAGGAGACUGAAGAGAUUUGGCAUGGAUCCUCAGAUCCUCAAAAGUUCUACAGCUGCACCAUCGAGAGCAUCCUGCCUAGUUGCAUCAUUGCCUGGUAUGGCAACUGCUCGGCCUCAGACUGCAAGGCACUACAGAGGGUCGUGUGUAUGGCCCAGUACAUCACUGGGGCCAAGCUUCCUGCCAUCCAGGACCUCUAUACCAGGCGGUGUCAGAGGGAGGCCCUAAAAAUUGUCAAAGACUCCAGCCACCCUAGUCAUAGACUGUUCUCUCUGCUACCACACGGCAAGCCAAGUCUAGGUCCAAGAGGCUUCUAAACAGCUUCUACCCCCAAGCCAAAAGACUCCUGAAUAUCUAAUCAAAUGGCUACCCAGACUAUUUGCAUUGCCCCCCCUUUUACACCGCUUGCCAUGUGUUAUCAUCUAUGCAUAGUCACUUUAAUAACUCUACCUACAUGUACAUAUUACCUCAAAUACCUCGACAAACCGGUGCCCCCGCACAUUGCCUCUGUACCGGUACCUCCCUGUAUAUAGUCUCACUAUUGUUAUUUUACUGCUGCUCUUUAAUUACUUGUUACUUUAUUUCUUAUUCUUAUUCAUAUUUUUUAACUGGAUUGUUGGUUAGGGGCUCGUAAGUAAGCAUUUCACUGUAAGGUCUACACCUGUUGUAUACGGCGCAUGUGUCUAAUACAAUUUGAUUUGAUCUGAUUUGGAUACGGGAAGGGAAUGAGUGGAAAACUGCUUUUAACACGGCUAGUGGGCACUACGAGAACCUGGUGAUGCCUUUCGGACUGACCAACGUUCCCGCAGUGUUCCAGGCCCUGGUCAUUAUGUGCUCCGAGACAUGUUGAACCGAUUUGUGUUUUUUUCCCCUGUACGACCUCAUCUAUUUCCGGACAGCUCAAGAGCACAUCCUCCAUGUCCGACAGGUCCUCUAGCGUCUCCUGGAGAAGCAGCUGUCCAUGAAGGUCGGAGAAGUGUGAGUUCCAUCGCAUCACCAUCUCGUUCCUAGGAAUCGCUGCAGGGAGUGUUCAGAUGGAACCUGACUAGUUGAGAGCGGUGGUGGUUUGGCCUUAACCCACACCCAGAGUGCAACUGCAGCCUUUCCUGGGGUUUGCCAAUUACUAUCGUUGUUUCAUUUGGGGUUACAGCACCCUUGCUUCCCCCCCUCUCUGCACUCAUCUCCCCCAAGGUGCCGUUCAUAUGGUCUCAAGCAGCUGACCGGGCAUUCUCUGACCUCAAGCAGCGAUUCCCUACAGCCCCCAUCUUAAUCCAUCCGGACCCGUCCCGUCAGUUUGUGGUGGAGGUCGACACCUCGGACGUUUGAGUGGGGGCUGUCCUCUCCCAACGCUCUGCUCAGGAUCAGAAGCUGCAUCCCUGCACCUUCCUUUCCCAUCGCCUUAACCUAGCCGAGAGGAACUACGACGUGGGAAAUCGAGAAUUACUUGCUGUCAAGAUGGCGUUGGAGGAGUGGAGGAACUGGUUAGAACGGGCAGAACAGCCAUUUUUGAUGUGGAUGGACCAUAUGAACCUGGAAUAUCUCCGCAAUGCCAAUUGUCUCAACUCCAGGCAGGCUAACCGAGUGUUCCCAGCUAACCGAGUGUUUGUCCCGGGCCCGUGCUCCUGUUCUGGAAUGGGUACAUUCCUUGAGACUCACCUGUCAUCCUGGCUCCCGUCGGACCAAGGACUGACAACGGUUUUGGUGGCCCACCAUGGUUCCUGAUGUCUCUGCAUUCAUUGCCACCUGUAAUGUGUGUGCCUAGAACAAGACUCUGCGGCAAGCUCCGGCUGGCCUCCUUCAACCACUUCCUGUCCUUUACUGCCCCUGGUCCCAUAUAUCCUUGGACUUCGUCACAGGCCUCUCGCCGGCUGAUGGCAACACCACCAUCCUUCCAUUUUAUUCUCCUUCCAAAGUUGCCCUCAGCUAAGGAGACGGCCCAGCUCAUGGUGCAGCCCGUCUUCCAGAUUCAUGGACUGCUGGUCGACAUGAUCUCAGAUCGCGGUCCCCAGUUCUCGUGCCAGUUCUGGAAGGAGUUCUGCACCCUUAUUGGGUCAUCAGCCAGCCUGUCCUCUGGUUUUCAUACCCAGUCCAACGGCCAGUCGGAGAGAGCCAAUCGGGACCUGGAGACGACUCUUGGCUGCCUCGUCUCCACUAAUCCUACCACCUGUCCCGCAAACUGUCCCCCCUAUUUUAUCAGCCCUUACCCAUCUCCAAGAUCCUUAGCCCCUCUGCUGUUCAUCUUCCUUUGCCCCAUACACUCCGUAUACAUCCCACUUUUCAUGUGUCCAGAAUUAAACCUAUAUCUCACAACCCUAUGUCUCCUGUUUCCUAGUUUUCCCGGUUCUGACUAUUCUGCCUGCCCUGACCCCGAGCCUGCCUGCCAUCCUGUACCUGCCUGACUCUGAUCUAAUUACGAACCUCUGCCUGACCUGACCCCGAGCCUGCCUGCCAUCCUGUACCUGCCUGGCUCUAACCUAAUUACAAACCUCUGCCUGCCCUGACCCCGAGCCUGCCUGCUGUCCUGUACCUGCCUGACUCAGACCUGAUCACGAACCCCUGCUGGUCCUCGACCUGCCCUUUGCCUGCCCCAUGUUUACAAUAAAUAAUCUGAGAACUGUACUAUCUGCCUCCUGUGUCUGCAUAUGGGUCAUAUCCUGAGUUGUGAUAGUAAGGGCUAUUUGACCAAGAAGGAGAGUGAUGUAGUGCUGCAUCAGAUGAGCUGGCCUCCACAAUCACCCGACCUCAACCCAAUUGAGAUUGUUUGGGAUGAGUUGGACCGCAGAGUGAAGGCAGCCAACAAGUGCUCAGCAUACAGUAUGUGAGAACUCCUUCAAGUCUGUUGGAAAAGCAUUCCAGGUGACUACCUCAUGAAGUUGGUUGAGACAAUGCUAAGCUGUCAUCAAGGCAAAGGGUGGCUACUUUGAAGAGUCUAAAAUCUAAAAUAUAUUUUGAUUUGUUUAACACUUUUUUGAUUACUACAUGAUUCCAUAUGUGUUAUUUCAUAGUUUUGAUGUCUUCACUAUUUUUCUACAACAUAGAACAUAGUAAACAUAAAGAAAAACCCUUGAAUGAGUAGGUGUGUCCAAACUUUUGACUUGUGCUGUAUGUAGCAGACGCUCUAAUCCAGAGCAAUUUACUGUACAGUCAUCGUGUGUGUCCCUAAUGGCAUCAUGUUCUCUAUAUACUGCCGUGCACUACAUUUGACAUUACUAUUAUACUCCACCACCAGGCUGAACUGGUACUUGGUCAAAUAGACCUGAAUGCAAAGUUAACAACAUUGUAGACAUACUGUACAUUUGUACAAAAGACUUCUGUGGACAAAAUAGUUUUUAAACAACCGCUGAUACGUACUUGCAGAGCAGUCAAUCACGCUGUGGAAUACAUUAAGAGGAAUUCACAAAAGCUAGAGUGGGAUGAUGAAGAACAUCUCUCUCUCUCUCUCUCUCAUGCUUUUCUCUUGUCAUCUGUGCCAAAUAUCCACAUAGAACUCAGUCUCUGUCUCUCAGAUGCUCGCCACCUCUUUCAUCCUUCGUGAGUGAGUCACACUUACCGUAAUAUACAUAGUAAGCACAGACCCAUAUAUACUGAACAAAAAUAUAAAUGCAACAUGUAAAGUGUUGGUCCCAUGUUUCAUGAGCGGAAAUAAAAGAUCCCAGAAGUAUUCCAUAUGCAAAAAUAUCAUCCCUGUUUGUGAGCAUUUAUCCUUUGCCAAGAUAAUUCAUCCACCUGACAGGCAAAACAAGAAGUUGAUUAAACAGCAUGACACUUACAUAGGUGCACCUUGUGCUGGGGACUAUAAAAGGCCACUCUAAAAUGUGCAGUUGUCACACAACACAAUACCACAGAUGUCUCAAGUUUUGAGGGACCGUUCAAUUGUCAUGCUGACUGCAAGAAUGUCCAGAGCUGUUGCCAGAUAAAUUAAUGUUAAUUUCUCUACCAGAAGCCGCCUCCACUGUCGUUCUAGAGAAUUUGGCAGUACAUCCAACUUGCCUCACAAACACAGACCACGUGUAACCACGCCAGCCCAAGACCUCCACAUCCAACUUCUUCAUCUGAGACCAGCCACCCAGGCAGCUGAUGGGACUGAGGAAUAUUUCUAUCUGAAAUAAAGCCCUUUUGUGGAGAAAAACUCAUUCUGAUUGGCUGGGCCUGGCUCCCCAGUGGGUGUGCCUAUGCCCUCCCAGGCCCACCCAUGGCUGUGCCCCUGCCCAGUCAUGUGAAAUCCAUAGAUUAGGAUAUAAGAAAUUAAUUUCAAUUGGUUGAUUUCUGUAACUCAGUAAAAUUAUUGAAAUUGUUGCAUGUUGCAUUUAUAUAUAUUUUUCAGUAUAGAUCAGUCUCAUAUAGGCCAGUGCCGCAGUCAAAAGUCCAUCCUAAAUAUUAGCCAUUAGUACCAAAUGUCCAUGUAAACACCAACUGCAGCCUCUCUUGUCCUUGAUGAGUGUGUUAAACACAUUCAUUUGAUGAACAUAGGAUGCAUCCCAAAUGGCACCCUAUUUCCUAGAUAGUGCACUACAAUUGACCAGGGCCAAUACUGCGCCUAAACAUUAGACCCUACGCUCCUAAACAGUAGAUCCUACGCUCCUAUACAGUAGAUCCUACGCUCCUAAACAUUAGACCCUACGCUCCUAAACUGUAGAUCCUACGCUCCUAAACAGUAGACCCUACGCUCCUAAACAGUAGACCCUACGCUCCUAAACAUUAGACCCUACGCUCCUAAACAUUAGACCCUACGCUCCUAAACAUUAGACCCUACGCUCCUAAACAUUAGACCCUACGCUCCUAAACAGUAGACCCUACGCUCCUAAACAGUAGACCCUACGCUCCUAAACAGUAGAUCCUACGCUCCUAAACAGUAGAUCCUACGCUCCUAAACAGUAGAUCCUACGCUCCUAAACAGUAGAUCCUAC
Oncorhynchus tshawytscha (Chinook salmon) is the source of this 8117-nucleotide long non-coding RNA. Lineage: Eukaryota; Metazoa; Chordata; Actinopteri; Salmoniformes; Salmonidae. The record is from Ensembl.